AGAUAUAAGAGCAAAUCUGGCUGUGACAUCUGUCACCUCAUUGAUCUCCAGGAUUGAUUCAGCUGAUCUGGCUGACUAAGCAGGUAUCCCCUUCCUCCCUCAUAGCUUCCUGAAUGUACCUUCUGAAGUUGCACACUCCGUUGACGAAAACUAUCUUCCCCUAUAGAGGAGAGCUGAGGUUUGGUCAAGGGUUGCAGUAGCUACGCUCCCCUGGAACCUCCAAACAAGUUCUCUGGGUCGGCAGGAUACUGCACUGAUUCCUUCUUUCUCCCCACUCAAACACAAGCAGCUUAGAGGUGGAAGCCUUUCU
This 310-nucleotide small nuclear RNA is filed under the name Nannospalax galili (Upper Galilee mountains blind mole rat). RNAcentral's name for it is "7SK RNA (ENSNGAG00000007588.1)". It matches the Rfam family "7SK RNA". Rfam says of the family: 7SK was discovered as an abundant small nuclear RNA in the mid-70s but a possible function has only recently been suggested. Two independent studies have found that 7SK RNA binds the CDK9/cyclin T complex (known as elongation factor P-TEFb). The record is from RNAcentral. Lineage: Eukaryota; Metazoa; Chordata; Mammalia; Rodentia; Spalacidae.